GAUAAUGCUUCACUUUCCGUACGCGUGAGCCGCUCCCGGGGAGCGGACAGUCUGCCGGGCGAGGACCGGGCCAGAUGGGGACCGGGUCAGAUGGGGGCCGGGCGCGGCCAGGCCUGUGGGCGGGCGCCGGGACGAGCCGACUCCGAAGGUGAGCUACGCCAUGCCCAUGCCCACUCCCGGGCUACAGAAGGAAUUCACUGCGAGUGCCCCUCAUUCACUCGACAUUCACUGACAAGAUGGACUAACAGUACCAUUUACAGAAGAACAAAAACAGC
Molecule: long non-coding RNA, 275 nt
Organism: Branchiostoma belcheri (Belcher's lancelet)
Lineage: Eukaryota; Metazoa; Chordata; Leptocardii; Amphioxiformes; Branchiostomatidae
Exons: 3
Source: RefSeq, a predicted model, not a curated record